RNAcentral lists this ribosomal RNA (481 nucleotides) under uncultured bacterium. RNAcentral describes it as "partial 16S ribosomal RNA". It matches the Rfam family "Bacterial small subunit ribosomal RNA", at positions 30 to 507 of the family's 1533-position model. The record is from RNAcentral.
UUGAACGCUGGCGGCAUGCCUUACACAUGCAAGUCGAACGGUAACGGGCCUUCGGGUGCCGACGAGUGGCGAACGGGUGAGUAAUACAUCGGAACGUGCCCGAUCGUGGGGGAUAACGAGGCGAAAGCUUUGCUAAUACCGCAUACGAUCUACGGAUGAAAGCAGGGGACCGCAAGGCCUUGCGCGGACGGAGCGGCCGAUGGCAGAUUAGGUAGUUGGUGGGAUAAAAGCUUGCCAAGCCGACGAUCUGUAGCUGGUCUGAGAGGAUGAUCAGCCACACUGGGACUGAGACACGGCCCAGACUCCUACGGGAGGCAGCAGUGGGGAAUUUUGGACAAUGGGCGCAAGCCUGAUCCAGCCAUGCCGCGUGCAGGAUGAAGGCCUUCGGGUUGUAAACUGCUUUUGUACGGAACGAAAAGCCUUCUUUUAAUACAGGAGGGUCAUGACGGUACCGUAAGAAUAAGCACCGGCUAACUACGUG